This is a non-coding RNA of Caerostris extrusa, 117 nucleotides long. Lineage: Eukaryota; Metazoa; Arthropoda; Arachnida; Araneae; Araneidae. The record is from the annotation of a GenBank genome assembly.
AACGGCCAUAACAUGCUGAAUAUACCGGUUCUCGUUCGAUCACCGAAGUCAAUCAUCAUUGGGUGCGGUCGGUCGGUAUUUGGGAGGGUGAUCAACCUGGGAACACUGCAUGCUGUU